This 24-nucleotide transfer RNA is filed under the name Nicrophorus tomentosus. RNAcentral's name for it is "tRNA-Leu". Lineage: Eukaryota; Metazoa; Arthropoda; Insecta; Coleoptera; Silphidae. RNAcentral also lists the same sequence under 10 other names. The record is from RNAcentral.
GUUUACACUUUUUUUAGAAAAAAA